RNAcentral lists this ribosomal RNA (350 nucleotides) under uncultured bacterium. RNAcentral's name for it is "bacterial SSU rRNA". It matches the Rfam family "Bacterial small subunit ribosomal RNA", at positions 357 to 704 of the family's 1533-position model. The record is from RNAcentral.
AGGAAUAUUGGACAAUGGAGGCAACUCUGAUCCAGCCAUGCCGCGUGUAGGAAGACUGCCCUAUGGGUUGUAAACUACUUUUAUAUGGGAAGAAACCGUGGUAUGUAUACCACCUUGACGGUACCAUAAGAAUAAGGAUCGGCUAACUCCGUGCCAGCAGCCGCGGUAAUACGGAGGAUCCAAGCGUUAUCCGGAAUCAUUGGGUUUAAAGGGUCCGUAGGCGGAUUUUUAAGUCAGUGGUGAAAGUUUGCGGCUCAACCGUAAAAUUGCCAUUGAUACUGUAAGUCUUGAAUUACUAUGAAGUGGUUAGAAUAAGUAGUGUAGCGGUGAAAUGCAUAGAUAUUACUUAG